CAUGCAAGUCGAGGGGCAGCAUGGUCUUAGCUUGCUAAGGCCGAUGGCGACCGGCGCACGGGUGAGUAACACGUAUCCAACCUGCCGUCUACUCUUGGACAGCCUUCUGAAAGGAAGAUUAAUACAAGAUGGCAUCAUGAGUCCGCAUGUUCACAUGAUUAAAGGUAUUCCGGUAGACGAUGGGGAUGCGUUCCAUUAGAUAGUAGGCGGGGUAACGGCCCACCUAGUCUUCGAUGGAUAGGGGUUCUGAGAGGAAGGUCCCCCACAUUGGAACUGAGACACGGUCCAAACUCCUACGGGAGGCAGCAGUGAGGAAUAUUGGUCAAUGGGCGAGAGCCUGAACCAGCCAAGUAGCGUGAAGGAUGACUGCCCUAUGGGUUGUAAACUUCUUUUAUAAAGGAAUAAAGUCGGGUAUGCAUACCCGUUUGCAUGUACUUUAUGAAUAAGGAUCGGCUAACUCCGUGCCAGCAGCCGCGGUAAUACGGAGGAUCCGAGCGUUAUCCGGAUUUAUUGGGUUUAAAGGGAGCGUAGAUGGAUGUUUAAGUCAGUUGUGAAAGUUUGCGGCUCAACCGUAAAAUUGCAGUUGAUACUGGAUAUCUUGAGUGCAGUUGAGGCAGGCGGAAUUCGUGGUGUAGCGGUGAAAUGCUUAGAUAUCACGA
This 659-nucleotide ribosomal RNA is filed under the name uncultured Bacteroidales bacterium. RNAcentral describes it as "bacterial SSU rRNA". It matches the Rfam family "Bacterial small subunit ribosomal RNA", at positions 54 to 702 of the family's 1533-position model. Lineage: Bacteria; Pseudomonadati; Bacteroidota; Bacteroidia; Bacteroidales. The record is from RNAcentral.